This 838-nucleotide ribosomal RNA is filed under the name Schizophyllum commune. RNAcentral describes it as "eukaryotic LSU rRNA". It matches the Rfam family "Eukaryotic large subunit ribosomal RNA", at positions 1 to 761 of the family's 3401-position model. Lineage: Eukaryota; Fungi; Basidiomycota; Agaricomycetes; Agaricales; Schizophyllaceae. The record is from RNAcentral.
CAAUAGGAGUCUGCUUCUAACCGUCUCUUGACCGAGACUAGCGACUUGUGCGCUAACUUUUGACUUGACCUCAAAUCAGGUAGGACUACCCGCUGAACUUAAGCAUAUCAAUAAGCGGAGGAAAAGAAACUAACAAGGAUUCCCCUAGUAACUGCGAGUGAAGCGGGAAAAGCUCAAAUUUAAAAUCUGGCGGUCUCCGGCCGUCCGAGUUGUAAUUUAGAGAAGCGUUAUCCGUGCUGGACCGUGUAUAAGUCUCCUGGAAUGGAGCGUCAUAGAGGGUGAGAAUCCCGUCUUUGACACGGACUACCAGUGCAUUGUGAUGCGCUCUCGACGAGUCGAGUUGUUUGGGAAUGCAGCUCAAAAUGGGUGGUAAAUGCCAUCUAAAGCUAAAUAUUGGCGAGAGACCGAUAGCGAACAAGUACCGUGAGGGAAAGAUGAAAAGAACUUUGGAAAGAGAGUUAAACAGUACGUGAAAUUGUCGAAAGGGAAACGGUUGCAGUCAGUCGCGUCCGCCGGGGAUCAACCUUGCUUUUGCUUGGCGUAUUUCCCGGUGGAUGGGUCAGCAUCAGUUUUGACCGCAGUUGAAAGGCUGGAGGAAUGUGGCACCUUCGGGUGUGUUAUAGCCUCCUGUCAUAUGCUGCGGUUGGGACUGAGGAACUCAGCACGCCGCAAGGCCGGGAUUCGUCCACGUUCGUGCUUAGGAUGCUGGCAUAAUGUCUGUAACCGACCCGUCUUGAAACACGGACCAAGGAGUCUAACAUGCACGCGAGUGUUUGGGUGGCAAACCCGAGCGCGUAAUGAAAGUGAAAGUUGAGACCUCUGUCGUGGAGGGCAUCGA